AAAGCAUGAGACGAGCAAAUGAAAUUGAGCUGAAUUUAUUGACGAGAAAGUAUCAUUAAAAUAUUCCUUUCAAUCUAGAGUCGCUUCUGGAAAGUGUGUGGGUUAAUUGAGUUUGAAGCGAAAGGACAUUCAUUAGUGGGCAAAUGUCUGAAAACCACAAAAUAUGCGCCGCUGUCUGCGCUGCGGUAGCUGUCGCAGCACGCACCACCAAGCAUAAAUCCAAUUGGAAGCCGAUUUACUGCGGGGGCGGCGGCUGCUACCCACAAAAAUGUUCAAUCAGAAUUUACAAGGGCUUGACAUUUAAAUUAACACUGGACCAGGCAACACAUUUGGUGGUGGAAAAAAGGAUAUGCAGGACUUUGGACUGGAUGCGAACGCCACUUGGUUAGUCCUUCCGGGUUGCUGCUGAGCGUCGGUUGUUGUUGUUGUUGCUUAGGUAGAAAGCAAUUAUUUAUUGAUAUACAUGUUUCAGUUGGUUUUGACAUUCAGUUUUAUUUUCGCUGUAAAUUUUCAUUGUUAUAAAUGAAAAAUGAAAUUUAUUUUAACUCUGAGUAUAACUAGCGUAUUCAUAAAAUUUCGUUUAAAUUACAUAAUAUUAAACUAGAUAUUUUCCCUUUGCUCUCUCUCUCUCUCCUUCCCUCACUGUUUAUCUACGCUUGGAGUUUUUCUUUGUCUGCAUGCUUAUUGGUUUUUCAUUUAUCUUUGAUUCCCUCAUUUGUCUAGUUAUAUAUUUUGUUGUUUUUGUUUUGGUUUUACAUUGAAAAGUGAGAACAGAACAUGACAUAUGAGACAGUAUUAGGGAUAGGGUGUAGUAUAUGUGGAGAGUAUACGAACAGAAAUACAAUGAAUAAUACAGAACGUGCCGUACGUAUAAGAUGACUAAACCAAACCACAUAAAAAC
Drosophila hydei is the source of this 901-nucleotide long non-coding RNA. RefSeq lists it as uncharacterized. The transcript is spliced from 2 exons. Lineage: Eukaryota; Metazoa; Arthropoda; Insecta; Diptera; Drosophilidae. The record is from RefSeq and is a predicted model, not a curated record.